This 460-nucleotide ribosomal RNA is filed under the name uncultured bacterium. Its description in RNAcentral is "partial 16S ribosomal RNA". It matches the Rfam family "Bacterial small subunit ribosomal RNA", at positions 338 to 795 of the family's 1533-position model. The record is from RNAcentral.
CCUACGGGGGGCAGCAGUGAGGAAUAUUGGUCAAUGGGCGCUAGCCUGAACCAGCCAAGUAGCGUGAAGGAUGACUGCCCUAUGGGUUGUAAACUUCUUUUAUAUGGGAAUAAAGUGCAGUAUGUAUACUGCUUUGCAUGUACCUUAUGAAUAAGGAUCGGCUAACUCCGUGCCAGCAGCCGCGGUAAUACGGAGGAUCCGAGCGUUAUCCGGAUUUAUUGGGUUUAAAGGGAGCGUAGGCGGGUUGUAAAGUCAGUUGUGAAAGUUUGCGGCUCAACCGUAAAAUUGCAGUUGAUACUGGCAUACUGGAGUACAGUAGAGGGAGGCGGAAUGCGUGGUGUAGCGGGGAAAGGCGUAGAGAUGACGAAGAACACCGAUUGCGAAGGCAGCCUGCUGGACGAUAACUGACGCUGAGGCUCGAAAGUGUGGGUAGAAAACAGGAUUAGAUACCCGAGUAGUC